CCUACGGGAGGCAGCAGUGGGGAAUAUUGCGCAAUGGGCGCAAGCCUGAUGCAGCCACGCCGCGUGAAGGAUGAAGGCCUUCGGGUUGUAAACCUCUUUCAGCAGGGAAGAACGGUGUAUAGUCUAUUCCUUUGUGCAUUGACGUUACCUGCAAAGGAAGCACCGGCUAACUCCGUGCAAGCAGCCGCGGUAAUACGGAGGGUGCAAGCGUUAAUCGGAAUUACUGGGCGUAAAGCGCUCGUUGGGGGUAUGUUAAGUCAAUGGUGAAAUCCCCGGGCUCAACGUGGGAACUGCAUUUGAUACUGGCAGACUUGAGUGUAGUAGAGGAUGGUGGAAUUCGAGGUGUAGCGGUGAAAUGCGUAGAUAUCUGGAGGAACAUCGGUGGCGAAGGCGGCUAACUGG
This 402-nucleotide ribosomal RNA is filed under the name uncultured bacterium. Its description in RNAcentral is "partial 16S ribosomal RNA". It matches the Rfam family "Bacterial small subunit ribosomal RNA", at positions 338 to 732 of the family's 1533-position model. The record is from RNAcentral.